Long non-coding RNA from Gallus gallus (chicken), 4039 nucleotides. RefSeq lists it as uncharacterized. The transcript has 6 exons. The record is from RefSeq and is a predicted model, not a curated record. NCBI's taxonomy places the organism in Eukaryota, Metazoa, Chordata, Aves, Galliformes, Phasianidae.
GAGCUGGCAGCUGGCAUGUGCUGCUGGGAGUGGUUUUCUGGUUGUGAAGUUUUGCUUCUACUUAGGUGUGGGGUCCUAGAGUGGAGUGCUUAAAAGCUACCUGUCCUUGCUGUUAUUAAAUUCCUUUUCCCACGGUGGAACUGCAGAAGAGGCACUAUGCAAUAACCUGUGAUCAGGAUCCCAGUUAUGUGCUGGAUAGGCAGCUGAAGAAGCUCCUAGACCUGUCUUUCCAUGAUUUGGACAGAGCCUAUAGAUAAGCAUGAAAGUCGAUCUGUUGGUGAAAGCUCUGGAGAGGUGCAGAGACAGGGAGGAAACGAGGCACCAUCCCACUGAAAUCAGCAGGACUCUGUGGUGCUCUGAGAAAGGCAUACAUAUGCCUGGAUCAAGUUGAUAUUUACAGAAGGCUCCUUUUGAAUUGGCUUUUGAUUAUACACCUAUGUCAGAGGGUGGACAGUGAGACUCAGUGUGACUUGUUUCCAUGAGAGAAAGAUGGUGAAAGAUUGUGAAGCUCCCCUUGCGAUUAAAACUGUUGAAACAGCUGUUAUCUGGUAGCUGCUCUCACCGGGCAGUUUCCUGAUGUCAGUCAGCGGCUGUGGGGCUGCAGCAGCAAUUGGAGCCUGAGGAGAGGCAGCCGCACCCCGGCUGUCCCCACACCCUGAAGGAGCUGCCCACGUUGUGCAGUGAACCCCAUUGCACAAGGGGUGAAUCCGGGCACUGCAGCAAUGGAGACACAGAACCCACUGUCGAAAGCCAAUGAAUGCUGAAAUUAAGACACUGCUGGAAAGUUGACCGAAGCGAGGGUCUGCAUUUAAAAAACAGAAACAGAGCACCUUCACCACCUAAUGGGAAGGUGGAUGAGGAUAAGAUGAGCAAGGAGGAAGCAAAUAGGAAGCGUUGCUUAAUGUCAUAAUGAAUGGAACUGAAGAAGAGAAGGGCCACAGCUCUGAGAUGAGAUGGGUGGUGCUCUGGAGUGCCCAGUGUGGUCUCUGAAGUAAGCAUCCAGGCCCAAGUGAAGAAAAGAGAGAUUGAAAUGGAAUUGGGGAAAACAAAGUUACUGGGAUUCUUCAAGACAAGGAGGGCAUGUCUCCUGGAGUCAGCACUGAAGCACUGUCUUACUUAGCCACCAGCCAAGCAGACUUAUAGUGACAGCAUUUGUUUUUUGUGUGCCUAACACAGGAGAAAAGAAAAGUAAAUUGCUGGUGAAUGAUGAAUGUAUAUAACAUUUGCCAUGUACCAGAAUAACAAGUUUCAGUAACAGCAUCCCUAAAAAGAAAAAAAGAGGCAAUGAGGGUAAAUAAAACAAACCAUUCCUAAGAUGAAGUGGAUGUGCUUCUGAAAAAGCCUGGACAAGUUGGACUCUGAUAAAAUACUUCUAGAACUACUGUCCCAUGAAACAGGAGGGGUACAGAGCUGAGGUGGGAGCCAGGGACUCCAAGAUGCUUCCAACCAAUUGUUAGUGCAGCAGCCUGGUUUGUAUAAGAGGAUGGGUGAACAAGGGGUAUAAAGCAGAGAGGAACAGAGAAAAAUCAAGCGCAUAACAUAAAAUAUGUCUUCAUCUAACCCAUGAAAUAGCAGAAGAUCCACAAACUGUGAUGCUAAACAGCCUUAUGUAAGUGAUUACAUGAAGCAGCUGUAACACAAGCCUGUAGAUAUGGAGAAGGACUCCAAAGGGAGUAAAUAGAAAUACAGACAAGGCCAGGAAGCUAACGGUGAAGGUAGGUUGCUUUGCUGAGGAUUCUUUAAACAAAGAAACAAAAAAAUUAGAGGCAUUUCCAUACAAAAAUACAACCAAUUCCAUUGCCAGGCAAACUCUCACUGGAUCCAAAAGGCUGAAGCAAAACUCUGGUUCUAGACAGAGAACCAUUCCAUAAUCUACAAGGAGGCUUCACAUUCUGAGUUUUUUAAGACUGCUUUUUAGCUACACAAGGCCUUAUUUCCAGAGAGCAGAGAACCUCUGGCUGCAGGGAGAGCUGCCAGAAUCUACACUACACCAAAAGGGUCUUAAAAGAAUUAUCCCAGGCAGAAGAAGCAGAUUUCUCUUGAAGACAGAAUAAGCAUGGGGCCAACAGCUCUCUUUUCCUCUAGCAAAUACUGGGAUGAGCCCACUAAUAUUCAAGAGGUAGCCAGCACUUUGCAUUGCAAGAAGCAACAUUCAGCUGCUUCUAUUUGCAGCAAUUUUAAAUUUUCUAAGUGUAACGCUACAAUGGGAUGGAAAGUAGUGCAAUAGCAGCAAUGUGGCAAAGCCUUUGGCUACAGCAAGUGAGAACAAGCCCAAAAGCAGCAGCCAGGGAUAAAGAAAUGAAGUAAAACAUCGCUUACCUUUGCAAGGCCACAGGUAGGUAGGAAUCUCCAGCAAGAGAUACCCUUAGCUCCACUGCCAACCCUUAAAUGAGGUAUGGGAGGGGGUGGAUCCUGGCUCCACCCCUUCUGGCCACUCAGCUACAUUGCACACACCUGGGCUCCCCUGGGCCUUCCUACCAGGUGCUCAAUCACUGCUUCAGGCCAUGACUCAGCAUUGCUGCUAUGCUAAGUAAAUUUUAUUUUAAUUUAAACUGAAAUCCCAAGUCCCUAUUUCUACCAAGGAAUGCUCAGAGCUUUGCAUUGGGCAUGGCAUAUAAAGGUUUUAAGUUUUCCCCAAAGUCUUCUGUAUGACAGCUACUUGAGGACCAGUUGGGUGCCACUGUGUCAAUCAUCCUCAUCCCAGAAGUAAAAUCCUUUAUCAUCCUCUCCCACCAGAGAAGUACAAAAUGAGAUCAAAGAUAAUAGAUAUGUCAUUUAGUAAUGGUAGUAGAAUAGGAACACUUUAAAGGAGGGUCCACCAUGGUCAAGGAGCUACUUGCAGCUCAACGUGCUUUGAUGCAGUUCUUGGAGCUGGCCGUCUGUGUAACUGAAGACCUGGUCCAGAGCGCCUAAGGGCAAUGGAUGUGUUGCCAUUGACUCAACUGAUAACAAGGUGAAAUCUUAUCUCCCUGCAGUGAAUCUGAUAUGCCUUUGUUCUGUACUUCACCAUCACUAUGUUUAGAGGGCCAGCUCUUUGCAGCUGGGUACCUAAACCUAGAUAUACUCCUGAAAUCCACCAGAUAUACAGGUGAGCUCUUCAAGCAACUGACAGAGUAAAACAGUAGAAAUAGUAAGAAUAAUGAUACGAUGGUGAACAGACAGCACUGUGAGUGAGGAUCCUUUGAAAUCCAUUAGCAACAGAAUAAGAGGAGUUUCAGUGCGCCAGAGUUUGCUGUGUUUCAUUGUGUAAUUCCACGAAGUUCUGCUUCUCCUUCAUUUCAGAAAGACCACUCAGCAGCCUCUGGCUUCUACGUUUUAGUUUUUCUCAUCUACUAGCCAGAAAAAGAAACACACAACUAGGAGCUGUAUUCACAGACAGGAAGUAACUUUAAUUAAAUAUUGUGAAAGUUGAAAAGUUUUUACAGCUUGAGUUUCUGCAAAAAAAUUAUAACAAUCUCUACAGUAGUUAGUUUCUCUAACAAUAGAACUGUACAGUGUGUGUGUCUAUUCAAAAAGAUUUAGAUAAGAAGGUGAAAGGUUAGUAGGUUCAGAGAUGACUUCAUUUUAGCUGCAUUCUAGUACAACUGUGAGGAAAUAGGCAUACUUGAUGCAAUCCAGUCUUUGUGAAGCUUCACCUUUUUAAAACUGAAAUCUGGACGUUUCCACUUAAAGCCAUAUUCUGUAAACAGCUGCAUCUUUUACUUUGUAAAAGAUAAGAGUGGUGUGGGGCCAGGGGGAAGGGGGGGGGGGCGUUAUAAAGUCCCAUUGAACAGACCACUACAAAUAGCUGCAACAAAACAAAAUGAUGCACACUGUCAGAGGAUCUUUGGACACUGGCGUAGAAGACUACAAACAUAGAUGGCCAACACUGGUGUAAAAAUCGCUAUGACUUUGAGUGGAGCUCUACAAGAGUAAUUGAUGGUGUCACUGGACAAAAUAUGGCUUUAAAUUUGAUUACACUGUCGUGCUGUUGCUUACUAUGUGAAUUAGAAUAACCGCUUGGAAUACAGAGAAGCAAUAAACUGAUGUCUCUCACAUU